RNAcentral lists this ribosomal RNA (525 nucleotides) under Triticum aestivum (bread wheat). Its description in RNAcentral is "partial small subunit ribosomal RNA". The record is from RNAcentral. Lineage: Eukaryota; Viridiplantae; Streptophyta; Magnoliopsida; Poales; Poaceae.
AUGAAAGGUGGCAAGGCGUUGAGCCCUGAUUGUAUCCCCAUUGAGGUGUGGAGAGGCCUCGGAGACAUAAUGAUAGUAUGGCUAACUAAGCUUUUCAACCUCAUUUUUCAGGCAAACAAGACGCCAGAAGAAUGGAGGCGGAGUAUAUUAGUACUAAUCUUCAAGAACAAGGGGGAUGUUCAAAGUUGUACUAAUCACUGUGGAAUUAAGCUGAUGAGCCAUACAAUGAAGCUAUGGGAGAGAGUAUUUGAGCACCGCUUAAGAAGAAUGACAAGCGUGACCAAAAAUCAGUUUGGUUUCAUGUCUGGGAGGUCGACCAUGGAGGCCAUUUUCUUGGUACGACAACUUAUGGAGAGAUAUAGGGAGCAAAAGAAGGGCCUGCAUAUGGUGUUCAUUGACUUAGAGAAGGCCUACGAUAAGAUAUCGCAGAAUGUCAUCUGGUGGGCCUUGGAGAAACACAAAGUCCCAACAAAGUACAUUACCCUCAUCAAGGACAUGGGACAUCUCCUUAUACAUCCCUUGUGA